GUCCAUACUCCUCGUCAUCUACGGCUUUAGGUGCAGUACCAAGUGCUGUACAGGCAUUGUCUUCGCGGAUGCACCUGCUGCGACCUCACAUUAAAAGGAGAAACGGACGCUGAUCAGGGAGGAAAAGACCCUGCCUGAGGACCCUGGAAGUUUUUUUUAUAGAGAUGAAGUCUUGCUACAUUGCCCAUGCUGGACUCGAACUCCUGGGCUCAAGCAAUCCUCAUGCCUCGGCCUCUCAAAAUGCUGGGAUUACAGGAGUGAGCCACUGCACUCAGCCAAGGGCUACACAUUUUUAACAAUAU
Molecule: long non-coding RNA, 302 nt
Filed under: Pan troglodytes (chimpanzee)
Lineage: Eukaryota; Metazoa; Chordata; Mammalia; Primates; Hominidae
Description: long non-coding RNA NONPTRT011973
Source: RNAcentral